UGCAACCUACCCUUAACAAGGGGAUAGCUCGAGGAAACUUGAAUUAAUACCCUAUAUACCUUUUUUUAUGCCUAUAAAAAGAGGGAAAGCUACGGCGGUUAAGGAUGGGCAUGCGUAGCAUUAGCUAGUUGGUACGGUAACAGCGUACCAAGGCAACGAUGCUUAGGGGUUCUAAAAGGAAGAUCCCCCACACUGGUACUGAGACACGGACCAGACUCCUACGGGAGGCAGCAGUGAGGAAUAUUGGGCAAUGGAUGGAAGUCUGACCCAGCCAAUCCGCGUGCAGGAAGACAGCCGUUAAGGUUGUAAACUGCUUUUAUACGAGAAGAAUAGUAGAUACGCGUAUCUAUUUGACGGUAUCGUAUGAAUAAGCAUCGGCUAACUCCGUGCCAGCAGCCGCGGUAAUACGGAGGAUGCAGGCGUUAUCCGGAAUUAUUAGGUUUAAAGGGUGCGUAGGCAGUUUAAUAAGUCAGUGGUGAAAUUCUCGGGCUCAACCGGAGAACUGCCAAUGAAACUGUUAAACUAGAAUUCAGCUGAGGUAGGCGGAAUGUGUAAUGUAGCGGUGAAAUGCAUAGAUAUUACACAGAACACCAAUUGCGAAGGCAGCUUACUAAACUGCGAUUGACGCUGAUGCACGAAAGCGUGGGUAGCAAACAGGAUUAGAUACCCUGGUAGUCCACGCCGUAAACGAUGAUCACUAGUUGUGUGCGAUAUAUAGUACGUGACUGAGCGAAAGCAUUAAGUGAUCCACCUGGGGAGUAC
This 762-nucleotide ribosomal RNA is filed under the name uncultured bacterium. Its description in RNAcentral is "bacterial SSU rRNA". It matches the Rfam family "Bacterial small subunit ribosomal RNA", at positions 120 to 883 of the family's 1533-position model. The record is from RNAcentral.